GCAGCUCACCCACCCCGCCUCAUGGUUGAGGAUUUCUGCAUCAGCCACAGGCUGGAGCUGACAGUGCUUUCACAGGGGGGCAGGCUGGGUGUUCCAUCUUUGCAGGACAUCCUUUGUGUGGCCCAGCCGUGAGACACUGCCUCACUGGGGAAGGUGCUUCUGCUUUAGGGAAAACAGACCAUCGAUGGCCAGCAAAUGAUGUUUCCUUUGGACACACUAGUGAACAAUAAAAGAGGAUCCUUGGGCUGCUGAGAUGACUCAGUGGAUACAGCUGCUUGCUGCCAAGUGGGAUGACCUGAAUAUGAUCCCUGGAACCCACAUGGUGAAAGGAAGAAAACCAACUUCCACAAAGCUGUCCUCUGACUCCACACGUAUUCUGUGACAUGCAGACGUGCACCCGCGCACAUGCAUGCAUGCAUGCAUGCAGAAGCAAUAAAGACUACUGUUUGAACACUGUCCUGUAGAAGGCACAGACUGAGAUGCUGUGUCAACUGCGCAUGCCUGUCUUUGUGACUGGCUGCAUUAUCGAUCCUUCCGAGCCUGUGUGCCACGCUGGAAAGCUGGAUCUAAGAGUACUCUCUUCCCCAACUCAUAAUAAGGGAGAGCCUUGUCCUGUUGGUCCCCGCAG
This 628-nucleotide long non-coding RNA is filed under the name Mus spretus (western wild mouse). RNAcentral's name for it is "lncRNA (ENSMSPG00010014353.1)". Lineage: Eukaryota; Metazoa; Chordata; Mammalia; Rodentia; Muridae. The record is from RNAcentral.